AUUCAUCUGACGGGUCCAAAACAGGAUGAAAUGCGCAUCCUGGAU
RNAcentral lists this non-coding RNA (45 nucleotides) under Trichobilharzia regenti. The record is from RNAcentral. Lineage: Eukaryota; Metazoa; Platyhelminthes; Trematoda; Strigeidida; Schistosomatidae.